Molecule: ribosomal RNA, 459 nt
Filed under: uncultured bacterium
Lineage: Bacteria
Description: partial 16S ribosomal RNA
Rfam family: Bacterial small subunit ribosomal RNA
Source: RNAcentral
CCUACGGGAGGCAGCAGUGAGGAAUAUUGGGCAAUGGCCGAGAGGCUGAACCAGCCAAGUCGCGUGAGGGAAGACGGCCCUACGGGUUGUAAACCUCUUCUGUCGGGGAGCAAAGCGAACCACGUGUGGUUCAUUUAGAGUACCCGAAGAAAAAGCAUCGGCAAACUCCGUGCCAGCAGCCGCGGUAAUAUGGAGGAUGCGAGGGUUAUCCGGAUUUAUUGGGUUGAAAGGGUGCGUAGGCGGGCAUUUAAGCCGGCGGUCAAAUGUCGGGGCUAAACCCCGGCCUGCCGUCGGAACUGGGUGCCUUGAGUGGGCGAGAAGGAUGCGGAAUGCGUGGUGUAGCGGUGAAAUGCAUAGAUAUCACGCAGAACCCCGAUGGCGAAGGCAGCAUCCCGGCGCCCUACUGACGCUGAGGCACGAAAGUGCGGGUAUCGAACAGGAUUAGAUACCCGGGUAGUC